AGUCCAUCCAGGCAGCCGUCAUAGGGGGUCAGCACAAAUCAGAUGGAGGGGCUUUCUUGUGUCUGGCAGCCGACACUUUCAAAUGUUAAUGGAUGGGGGCGAACAAAGUUGAAGUGGGUCUGAAAAUGCUAAUUGUCCCUAAUUCAUGUAAAUAGGUUUCUUAAUGGAGGAAUUAAGCAUUUUAAAUAUGCAAUCGGAGGCAAUCAGUCCUUUCAUUUGGUGGGGUGGCACAGGUGUAGAGGAUUGAAAUUCAUCUUUCACACAGGGUGGCUCAUUUGUCAUUUGGCUGUGUUCAGGCAUGGAUGACGGGGACUGGAGGAGAGGUCCUUCUGCACUGUUAUGUACAGAUAUCGUUGGUGUGGAAAGACACCAGUGAUGGCAGCAGCCACAGCAAGCAGAAGUGACAAUUGGCUUGCAGAUUGCUGGAGUGCUUACAUCCUGUGGCCUUGAAGAAACACACAGAGCUGGCAACGUACAAGAGGCAUGAAGAAAGGAGGCAAAUGCGGGAAAGAAGAGAAGAGGAAAUGACACGGGUGGGUAAAGUAUUGCAUUUAAAUUUAGCAAAAAUGAGAAAAGAUAUAUUAACUGUUUAUUUUCUGACGUACUGUUCUUUAUUAUUACCUAUUUGGCAUCUCUGUCGGGUGCAUUAUGGAAAUGAAGUAAUGCUACUUUGCUUAACAAUAACACACUGACUUUGAAUCCUCUUACUUAAGGUUUGAUUGCUUCUUGACGGUGGUUUUAAAUGAAUUGUGUUGAGGAGUGAUAAAGAGCUUAUUGCCAGGAAUAAAAGCCCAGAGCAAUGAAGAAAAGCUACACAUGGAGUGGCUAGGCGAUACAGGCUAUUACGGUGAGGGAAUGGUGUCCUUGACUGCCAGGACGGCUUAGAAUUUUAUUUCAUCUUGUUUUGCUGGCUGCUGACAAUGAUGCGUGACUCUGGCACUGGAGGAAGAGGGCAAGCAUGAGAGCCAUUUUAGAUCUCAUUUACAUAUAGUGUGUCUAUAACAGCAUGAAAAUAACCGUGUUUGAAUGCGUGUGCAUAUGAACAUGCAAUGUGCACGUUUCAGGAGACAGGAAUACAGUAUGCCUGCAUGCAGGUGUAUUUGUGCAUUCAAGCAUUUUAAAAGUUUGUUUGUGAAUUUUCUACAGAGUGGUAUUUUAGGGAAAGUUAUGAUUAUCAUUCUCCUUGUGUUGCGUGUGUUUGUGAAUACACACUUGCUCUGACCUCUAUCACUCACAUGCGCUGAAGCCCCCAAACCUCAUGUAAAUUUGGACAAUGGGGGACUCUGGGAAUUGUUGUUUAUCAGCGCAGUGAAAAGAACGGUUGAGCUGUAAUGGCCCUCCAGUGGGUUCAGUAUGUAAACUUCUCUGUGCUGCAGCAGUUUGAGGCCUCCCCUCUGAGCUGCACAUCUCUGUGUUAUUUUGGUUGGCUGCUUGAUUCGGGUGGGAGCAGUUCAUUUGGAGGUUAUCGCUGCUUUUGUCAAGGUGAGUCAGUACUUUCGUUGCAUACAGUGGCACAAAUGAGGCAGCAACAUCUCCAAAGAAAAGCUCAUCUUUGCUGUUUCGUUUCUGACUAUGAAGUCCCAACAGAGCACAUUCAGCCUCCAAGGUUGUAACUUUUUAAAGAUAUUAAAGUUCCCCUCCAGACAUUUUUUAAGUAUGUAAAAAUACUCUAUGAUUAAUAUUUUGUUUAACAUGGUUUUCCCACAUAAAAAGUAAUAAAAAAAACUCUCUGAAAAUGGGCUGAAAGCACAUCUACUUUUUCUCCUGAUUGAAUCUGGCCGCUUCCCGCCCACAGAGUUGCCAAGUCUGCUUAUUAUAAGCGAUUUUGGGAUUGUUUUCCUCAAAAGUCGCAGACAAAUAUUGGUAGUUGUGUUUUUUUUGGGCUUGAUUCUAAAGUGUAGUUAUUUAUUUGGGAUUGCUCUUGUCUCUCUCCUCUAUACCUGUCUACUUUGUCCUGUUGAAGGAUCCGUACACACCUGUACAAAAUCUGCCCCCCCCUUUCUCCCAUACGCACGCAGCCAUCGGUGUGUGAAUGAGGAUUUAGAUUAGAUGCUGAUGGGCAAAGUUGGCACCUUGCACCAUCAGUGUAUGAAUGUGUGUGAAUGAGUGAAUGCUGACACACUAUA
Long non-coding RNA from Sebastes umbrosus (honeycomb rockfish), 2126 nucleotides. RefSeq lists it as uncharacterized. The record is from RefSeq and is a predicted model, not a curated record. The transcript is spliced from 4 exons. Lineage: Eukaryota; Metazoa; Chordata; Actinopteri; Perciformes; Sebastidae.